Mustela erminea (ermine) is the source of this 889-nucleotide long non-coding RNA. RefSeq lists it as uncharacterized. The transcript has 3 exons. The record is from RefSeq and is a predicted model, not a curated record. NCBI's taxonomy places the organism in Eukaryota, Metazoa, Chordata, Mammalia, Carnivora, Mustelidae.
AAAUAAAUAAAUAAAUAAAUAAAAUCUUUAAAAAAAAUAACUAGCCAUUUAUUUAACGAAACCCCUGGAAAACAGGAUAGUGGGAAGGUAUCUUUUUAUUACGAGAGGAGUAGAGAAAGGUCAAGAUCGAAUCAGCUUGAAUUGGAGCCCACUGUAGUCAUGAUGUGGUAUCUUUGUGCUUUUAUCUUGGGUGGGAGGAGGGUUGAUAGUUUUUCUUCCUUUUCCCAGAGACACCAAGAAGGCUAGCGGUAGCAGAUCUGAGAAGAGAUACUCUCAAAGGGAGCUAUGCUGUGGUAUUGCCACAGGGGAAUGUUCAGGGCAACAGGCCGUGGAAUGUCUUGGACAUGGACGAGAAGGCAAAGCAAAAACAGUAAGCAGUGGAGGGAAGGGGUCUUUGGAAAGAGCGAGGAGGGUCACCACACUCCAGGAGGUACAAGAGACCAAUGAACUUUGGACUCAUACCCCACUCACUGGCUAUGAAACCGUGAGAAAGUUAUGUCAAAUCUCUCCGUUUCAUUUGUGUCAUCUCGAAAAUGAGAAUAAUUAUAGCUCCCUGCCUCCCUACUGCGUUGUAGGCUGGUUGAGAGGUUUGGGACGAGAUUGCUGCUAGGGUCCAAAUCUUAGUUUCACCUUUGAAUUUCUCUAAAUCUCAUUUCCUUAGCUAUAUGUGGAACAAUGAGUACCUACCUCACCGAUUGUGGUGAUACUUGCGUGCGUAUCAUUCAUAUUUGAGACAGUAUCCAAAACAUACUUAGGAUGUGACCUGGUAUAGAAUAAAUGCUCAGUUAAUGCUCAGUUAUUCGCUUGUUCCUUCACUCAGCAAGUAUUCAUUGAGGUCUACUAUGUGCCAAAUCCAGUUUAAGUGCUUGGGAAACACGGAUGCACAAAA